AUACGGAGGGUGCAAGCGUUACUCGGAAUCACUGGGCGUAAAGCGCGCGCAGGCGGGCUGAUAAGUUGGAUGUGAAAGCCUACGGCUCAACCGUAGAACUGCAUCCAAAACUGUCAGUCUAGAGUCUGGGAGGGGAAGAUGGAAUUAGUUGUGUAGGGGUAAAAUCCGUAGAGAUAACUAGGAAUACCAAAAGCGAAGGCGAUCUUCUGGAACAGUACUGACGCUGAGGCGUGAAAGCGUGGGGAGCAAACAGGAUUAGAUACCCCGGUAGUCC
RNAcentral lists this ribosomal RNA (274 nucleotides) under uncultured bacterium. Its description in RNAcentral is "partial 16S ribosomal RNA". It matches the Rfam family "Bacterial small subunit ribosomal RNA", at positions 523 to 796 of the family's 1533-position model. The record is from RNAcentral.